AGGGAGGCUCUUUCUCCGACCCGCUCGGGGUGAGGCGGCCGUGCGCCCAGGGCGCGGCGCGGCGCGGCGCGACGCUGCCGGAGUGCUAGGCUCCGGCUGCAGCCACCGCUGCCUUUGUCUUAGAGGCGCCGAGGGGCUCCAGCCUCGACCUCUCCCGGGCCUGUAAGAACCUCGCGCCCCACUAGCUCUUUCUCCAGCGAAGCCCUGCCCUCACCACCCCAGACAUCCUUCCCCGCGCUCCUCUUUCCCGUCCCCAACCCGGCUCGGCGAAACCUCCCAGUGCCAGAGAAAAAGAAAUCCGCUUCGGAAGCUGAGAUUUCAGACAAAAGCUGCCUGUACCUACAACUCGGAGGCUCCAACCAACCACUGUUUUUUGUUUUGUUUUGUUUUUAACUUUAACACCUAUUGCCUGGGCUUUAAUUCCCCCUCACCCCUUCUCUUUAUUCUCCCGCUCUAAGCUUCUCCCUUGUGAUUAUAUUUAGUGGCGUUAUUUUCGUAUUUAUAUUUCUGUCCGCUGGGCUCUGAUCUGCCGAGAUGGCUCAGCCGCAGCAGCUCUACCAGUGGCUGGAAACCUCACAUCCACAAGCAGGGCUCGCAGCUCGCUCGGCUCCGAGAGGAUUUUUCCCCCUCCCUCCAGCUGAAACCUCGCAGAAAACUCCCCCUGCGGUCGACUGGAAAAUGAGCUCACCCAAAUCUCGGUAGGCAGCCGUGGAGGAGUGCUCGGCCAAUCAGGAGGCGCCCCCGCCCAGGCCGCCGCGCAUUGGCUGCGGGGAAAAUCAAUUAUCAAAUAAUCGAUCAGCAGGGAGCUUCGAUCUGCGGGGAAUGCGAACUGCCAGUCCCUAUUCCCGCCCUGAAGGUGGCCAAAAGGCUGACUCCCUCCAAGCAGCCCGCCCGCGCCUCCAUCGCCCCCACCCACGUCCCACUCGCCAGCUGCGGACUGAACCCUCACCCUCAAGGGGGUGUAGGUAGGGAAAGAGUUUUGAGCAAGAUUGGGGGUAUCCCUUCAUCCGAAGAUUGUUUGGGAAAGGUUAGGAGCUCUAAAAUGUAUUGAAGCCAACUCUUAAGCGCAAAGUAAAAGAUAAUUUGCGUCCGUCUGCGAGGUAGGACUGAAGAUUCUAUAGAGUGGGCUUCCGAGGAGCAGGAGACACAGGGCGAGCAUGAGAACAUAGGUCUGGAAUGAGGUUCCACCGAGCGUCCGUAGUCUCCUUAGGCGACAUCUAUCGCUUCCUUUAGCACUUCGCAGGAGUCAACGCGGGGUUGGUUGCCCCCAACAGUGGAGCGUUUCCAUAAAGCCGAGCAGAUGAGCCUUCCCAGCCGCCUGCACUGCACCCUUCCCCGCCCCCAACUCCGUACUGGCACCCUGUGUGCCUGAAGGGCUGACACACGUUCUCCCAAAACCUUCAGAAGCGCUUUGCCUUGAAAGAGCUCUCCCUCGUGUGUGUGUGUGUGUGUGUGUGUGUGUGUGUGUGUGUGUGUGUGUGUGUGUGUUUAAACCAUCUCCAGGAUCCCUUAUCAUUUGCUUCCUCUCUCCUUUUUCUCUCUGUUUCUCCCUGUCUUUUUUCUGACGCUUAAGUUUCAGGAUCUUUUAGUUUUUUUCCAUCACAUACAUGUGUAGGUUUUCUGGUACAAACGCCCUGAAACAUCACUUGGGAGGUUAAGACAGGCCCGCGAGUAAAAGCUGGGGACGGAGUGGGUGGGCAGCCAGGUGCAUUACCAGCGCCUUUAUGCCUCUGCCUACACUUCCCGGCCUCCCCCCAUCCCCCCACCCCCCCACCCCACGCCUCACCGUCGCUCCCCGGCCCCACAACAUGAACUUGGAAGCAGAAUUUCAGGCCAAGAUGGAACCUCCCCGUCUCAGGAAGGCGAUUUCUGUUUAAUCCUUGGGAGGCUGCGCUGGCUGGGCCAGGCAGCACGCUCCUUUUCCGAUUAGGGAAAGGACUAAGCUGGGCCGGCAGUCUGCGACCCCUUCCCGGAACCCCAGCCGACUUCGGGGUAUACCUGAGCGCCUUCCGAUGGCUGCUCGCGGGGGUGUGAUCAUCGUCCCCGCAUCAGGCCCGCCAGGCAUCUGCGCGACUCGGGGCCUCAGGGGUUCUUCGGCAAAGAGGUAACGGGGCUUGGAUUUACCACAACUCUGCGGCCACGUUUUCAAAUUUGGAAAAGGCGAUUUAUGCGAGAAAGGGCCAAUUUGAACACUGGUAACUAGUGGGAGAAAUAAACUUAUAAGCCACAAACACAUCGGUUCGCAACCGAGCCCACAGCCCCGCGAGGCGCCCCUUCUUCCCAGCUCCCGGAGGAUAACUUCAUUGACUGGCAGGUCGGCGGCCACUUCUGGGAGGGCCACUGUUUACCGAAUGAGAACCUCUCAUGGCACAGUCCUUACAGCAGGGCUGCCCUGUCGCCCUUGCGCGUCCGGGUGCCGGGUCCCGGCGGUGUUCUGCAGCGCGAUCCGGUCCCCGUGCCCUGAGCCACCCAGAGCCCUGGGCCUGCCUGCACCCUGGGGCGCGCUGACUCCCUGGGUCGGGUGGGGGUCCCGGCAGGAUGCACUUCCAGCUGCGGGGUCCGCGGAGUUUGCUCGCACCUGGUUUGGCGCAGGGACGUAGGUUUGGGGGACUGUGUCCCCUGGGAAGAGCAAAAGGUGAAAAGGUCCCCUCUCCCACCAGUGUGCCCCAUCCCCGCCAGUUUUGACUGCGAUCCUAUUUUUCUCUUUGGGGGUCGCCUCAGCCUGUGCCGGAGGGAGUUGGGAGUUGGUCAGGCUUGGGCAGCGGUGGGUGGCAGCCCGGGAGCCGGAGCAGGAGCGCGAGGACCCGCGGACUGGGGCGCAGCGACGAUGGCGCACCGGCUUCUGUCUUCUGCUGCUUUGGGGCUGAGCAUCCGAGGGCGCCUUUCUCCCCAGCUGGACUCGGGGACGCCGGAUCACCCCGCCACCUGCCUCUUGGCCUAAUUCUGGAAGCUUCUCGCCUCCGUUCCUGGACGGCUCUUCCUCAGGGGCAGCAAUGAGCCCCGGGGUGCGCUCAUCUCCUCCGAGAUCAAUUGCUCUACGAUUCCUUUUAGGACUUGCAGGGGGGAGAGGUUGGGGACCCCGGCCCCAGAGUGGCUCCUGCGGCACGGCGGCCCACUCGGAGGGGUCGCAACAAGCGCGCAUUUGUGGCCAAGGUUGUGAUUUCAGGUGCGCUAAUGGGAUCAGACGUCCUGGGAGAAGCGUGAGGGGAUUGGUGCCGUUCCUUCUCCCGGCUUCCAGCGGCCGCCGGGUGGAAGUGGGGACACAGGAGGGCCGCGCUACGGGCGCCCAGCGCGGGCGCUCACACCUCUUGAGGAGGCGUGGAACCCAGCGCCCCAGGUGGGGGUAGGGCGCGGGGGUAUAGGUAGUGAGGGGUGACGCUGGGAGAGGACCGGGAGACGGAGGAAAGGAGACAGCCGGGGACACUACUGAGAGAGGGAGUAAGAGAGUGCGCUGCAGAACCGGGGACAGAGCGGCAGAACCGACCGAGAGCUGGAAUUGGAUUGCGUCCUGUCCCAGCACCAGGACACAGAUAAACAGCCUCCCAGCACUGGUACUCGCCAGAGAAGGGGAAACCCGCGUCCCGCGCUGCUGCUUUCUGCUUCGGAGAACCUUAUCUAGACUUUUGCAUAAUUGCGUGUUGGCUUUCCUAAAUAAUUCGGAAGAGCGAUUUCUGCUUCCACUUGUUCACAUAGGCAAACAAUCCCUGUGGGGAAAAUGUGUGUGUGUGUGUGUGUGUGUGCGCGCGCGCGCGCGCGCGUUCCGGUGACAAUUGAGGCCAGAGGCAAACACAUCCUCUUUCAAAAUGUCCCUUAGGUGAUCCCGUAAAUGACUGUCCUGCUCUAGGCAGUGGGAGUCAUCAUCCACUGGGUAGGGGGCUGUGAUUACUCUGCCUAGGGACCACUUUUCACAGCUCCUUCCCCACCGUAGAUAAGGGUGUUAAAUCAAGGCAUUUAGUUCUACUUUUCCAUUGCACAGAUAAGCAAGCUGAGACCCAGAUAGGUUAAGUGAAGUAUCCAAUUUCUUCUCUCCUUUUCUUUUCUGUAUGCCUCAAGAUGGUUUUAUACACACACACACACACACACAUACAUACACACACACACACACCCUGAACUACGAAAAACAUCACAACUACGGAAGAAACAUUUUUUACUCUUCUUAUUUCCUAAGAAGACCAAAAGUCAGAGCUUGUCUUCUGUCAGAAGCAGAUGGGUGUGUGAUGGCAGUGUGUGAGUGUGCAAGUGUGGGGGGGCUGGGCGUUGGCGCCAUCCUUCCUCCUUCCCUGCUCCAUCCCUGACUCCAUCACCGAGCCCCUUCAGGGAAACACAAGGCAGGAGGUUGUACCGCUAUGCAGAAGACCCCUCCAGGUAGGGAGCUUGAAGAAAUGAAACAGCAGGGAGAACCUGUAUUUGGUGGUGAAAGUGCUGGAAUCUUCUAGGCCUUGCUCAUCUCCAACCAGCUACUUCUCCAAAAUAAAGCAAAACAAAACAAAACAAAACAAGGCAAACAACAACCACCACAGGCCUUUUGCAUCAACUUCCUGUGACUAAGUGACCCUAAGCAGAGAACUGGCUCAGGUCACUUAGGGCAGGGGUAGGACAUUGAAGGCCUUAUUUACUCCAGGAUUAAAAACAGCAUCCCCUCUAACCCUGUCUCUCUUGGGCAGCCUGUCUUUUAAGGAUGUGAAAAGCAGCUUCUUGGAGUCUAAACAGGCACAAUACCCCACUGGGAUGUUUAGGUAUCAGGUUCACAAAAACAGCAUUUUACUCCUGCUUCCCCGAACCCCUUUGCAACCCAGGCUACCAUACUCUUUGCAAGAAUAUCCGGUAUCUUUUCCGGGCAAAAUGAAUUGAGUUGGCACUUCCUGAAAUAUUUUUAUUUUUAGCUUCAAAUAAUUUUGCUCCUAAAACAAAUUAGUUACUUAUCCUCUUCUCACCAUGCCCUAAUUAUUUUUAGCUUUAUUCUAAUUUUUUUUGUUACCUUGAAUUUUGUCUUGAUUUGAGAGUUUGGUAUAGAAUACUUGUUUGCAGACUGGUAAUCUGCAGUUUAUUUUGUUUUUAAAAAACUCUGUGAAGUUUACUGUUGUUUUAAAACUCAUGGAAUAUUAACAAAAAAUAACCUAAUAAUAUUCUUCGAGGCUUAAACUUUGGUUAUAGUCUAUGUCCUAGCCUAGCUUUUAUGAUAAGCCUGUUGCAUUUUAAAGGUGCUUAUUGAUUCACAUGUCUUUCAGUAAAAAAUCUUUUGAGGAACCCAGACUUUUGAAAGCUAUUUAAUUUGCAUGUAUUUGGUCAUUACAGGCUAAAACUGAAGAAUGAGUUUGGAAAUUGGUUCUAUUAGAAAACACUGUUUGCACAUCCAAAUGUUCCCAGUCAAGAUUUCCCAAUAGUGGCAGUGAGAAAGAGAGGCAGAGAGAAUUAGGAUACUUGGGUUCAAAUUUUAGCUUAGUCACUGAUGGGCUGAUUGAGUGAGAAGAACUUAAUCACCUGCAAAAUGAAUUGCUUACAGUAUUUUGAUCUCUAAAUACACUUUUGAUUCUGAUAUUUAAUGAUUUUGUAUUACAAAAUUGGGCAGAAAACGCAUAGCUUCAUAACAAGCAAAAAAUUUUACUGUUAACACAUCAUACUUAUUUUAGAGUAAAUUUGAAGGAGGUUGAUGUUUUGGAAUUUGGUUGGAGAGUUAUCCAAAAGCAAUGUUUCCCUGACUCAACUACAACCAAUUACACACAGUGGCCAGUAGGAAAAGGAUUAAGUUGUCCAGACAAAAUAUAAUGGUAACAAAAAAUAAUCUUGUGCUUUUGACAUCUUUCUGUUUACUUGUUUUUGUCUUGUUCUAAUGCCCCCUGAAUUACUAUUUUCUAAAAAACAGUCUCAUCUAAAAUAAAACAUAGUAAUGUGUUUUCAAAUGAGACAUUUUAUUGUAGUUACGAUUUCUUUUGUAUAUUUUCCUAAUGCAGACUACAAUAAAUACACUAAAAUAUUUCAAAUGGUUUGCUUGUGUAUAUGCUCUUAAGUCGUCUUUAUCCCACUUUGGGAAGCAUAUGCUGUGUUCUGAACAGUUUUAACUUUAUAUAUCAGCAUGACUAAGUCCUUUCAACAACUAUCACGCAAAGACCACGGAGAGCAGAACUAUUCAGGAUAUCAAGAAAUGAACACUAAUGAAUAGGAAACAAUGAACCCUAAUUUUAGGAAGAAAUUAGUUUUGCAAUUCAGCAUUGUCAUUUAAAGUGGAAUUGUGUCUCGUAAAACUUCUGUAACUGCCAUACUUGUUGCUAUCAGUAAAUUCUAUGAAGUCUCUAUUUUACACGACAGCAUUUUGAAAUGUAAUUGCUACAGUUUUAGAUAUUUCUAAGGCCUGAAUUUAUUAUAACAGGCAAUUUUUGAAAAAUAUACCAGAUUCAAUUAAAAAAUGGCAAUAAUUUCUCAUAAAAACCUUCAAAACAUUGAAAUCUGUGUUUUAUAUUCCAGGGAAUAAAAACAUAAAAACUUUACUUUGGACUUAAAAAAAAAAUUCAUUCACUCUCAAUUCCCCGCUUCUUUGAGAUCCUCCCGACAGGGAAAUUGUCAGAAGAAUUCCUUAAUACCUUCAGGCACUGUAAACUCCACAUAUGGAUCUUUAAGUCUGAAAAUGACAACUUAGAUUUUCGUUGAAAGAUAUACCUGAAAGAACUAAAGUAAACAGAAAGAUGUCAAAAGCACAGGAUUUUUUUUGGUACCAUUAAAUUUUGUCUGGAUAUUUGUUGGUGUUUUAGAAGUUAAAACACUUAGUCCCGUCUCCACUGGCCAGACAACAAAAGUUGUCUAACUUUUGGAGGCACUUUCCCUACUGCCUAAGCAUGCUAAGGCAUUGCUUAGCAUGACCAGGAUGCUUAAGAACUUGAAAUUCACAAAGUUGAAAAUAGAGAGUUAUGGCUCUUUUAAUAACUGUCACUUUAUCCUGAUUCUCAGUCAAUAUCCAAGCACAAUGUAGAGUGUGGAUGAACUUCAAAUGCUCUGGAACCAGCUACUGCUUUGAAGGUCAAACUCAGUCAUAUUUAAAAUUUCAGCAAUAUCACACUACUGGCAAUUGUUGGCUCAAUGAGACCAACUGCUCUCCUGACCUGGUAAGAACCAAGUGCCCACAGCCGCUUUCCUGACUUAUGAUUCUGUAUCUGGUAGCUACCUUUUUUCUCCUUGAGUAUUUAACGCUCUUUAAUUUUGCACUUUUGCAUUUCUUUGACAGUUGGCUAGCAUCCUUUAAAAAUUCUAGCCUAAUUUAGACCAAAAAGUACUAUAUAUUUUUGGAUAUUCUUAACCCGUUAGGUGCUUAGGGCUUAUUUGUUCAGGAGUUCAACCAAUAAGCCUUCCUCAGUGCUUUUAGCUUUUUACUCCAGGAAGGAAUUAGUUUGAAUUGCUCCAAAAUUGUCUUCUUUUUAUUUUCUCUUUCCUUUCCUAUGAGUCUGUAAUUUAGUUCUGCUGACACAGUUGAUUAACCCCAUACUGGGGAGUUGAUUAAAAACACUUUCUAAAAAUGUAUACUCCUAUUGCUGGUAUUAGUCAGCAUUUUUUUUGGCCUAUCACUUUUUAAGUUUCAGUUUAUCAAAAUCUUUCCACUCCAAUAAUUCUAAAUGGGCACACUUUAAAAGCUACAUACCUAGUUCUUUUUAAUAUAGGCUAUUCUUACGGCACUCUCUCUAAUGUACCUCCUAUAUUAGAAUCAUUCCAGGGAGCAGCAAGUGGUCUUAAAGACAUCUAUAAAGCCAUAUAUGAGCCAGGAGCUGAUGUGAACAAUAAUCACAAAUCUAUGAGCCAAGUUUGUUCUUCUCUUUGUGCUUAGGGGACCAUUCAGUUGUGCGACAGAUUCCCUCUUGAAGAACACUUCCUCAAAAAAAUUCUUAACCAUUGUCAUAGACUGAAGGAAGCUGCUCGGGGUCAUUACGUACUUUGUACUCUCCAGUUAACCUAGACACCAAAGCCAUUCCCACCAUCCUACUUCUGUCUUCUUGGAAACUUUCAAGAAGACGUGAGCUUUAAAGACUGUUUCAGAGUUUACAUGCCUCUUUCAUUGUCACUGACAUUUUUCGGAUCGUGAUUAAAAAGGCCAGUCUGUUGCAAAUUUCAUAAAUUAGUCUUUUCUCUCUGUUCUGCUGUCAGGUUGCCCUUCUCACUAAUGUCACCACAUGUCACUGCUGCCCUAGCCAAUCUCAAUUUGACUGAAAGGGUUUGACUAACUUUUGGGUCCUGUUUCCUAUAAUUGGUAACUUUGCCAACUUUUUGGUUUUACACUGUUUCACUCAGAAUAUUAUUAUUCAGGCAAAGUUAAUUUUCUGUUCUAAACAAGUCUUUGAUACUCAGGGAUAUGAUUGAGAAUUCAAUUUUUGUCUUUAACAAAACAUCACAGUUUGCAAAACAUCCCCCUUCCCCUCUUCAGGUCUACUAUCUUAGUUUACUCCUCCAAACCCUGUAAGAACAUACCAUCAGCCCUAUUUCACAGAUGAGGGCCACACAAUUGUUUAGAAUCAAAGACUGUGUACCG
RNAcentral lists this long non-coding RNA (8509 nucleotides) under Homo sapiens (human). RNAcentral's name for it is "HSALNT0033032". The record is from RNAcentral. Lineage: Eukaryota; Metazoa; Chordata; Mammalia; Primates; Hominidae.